RNAcentral lists this transfer RNA (68 nucleotides) under Acanthaspis ruficeps. RNAcentral's name for it is "tRNA-Tyr". Lineage: Eukaryota; Metazoa; Arthropoda; Insecta; Hemiptera; Reduviidae. The record is from RNAcentral.
AAUAAGGUGGCUGAAAUAAAUAGGCGGUAAAUUGUAAAUUUAUUUAUGGUCAAUAGGACUUCUUAUUA